This 253-nucleotide ribosomal RNA is filed under the name uncultured bacterium. RNAcentral's name for it is "partial 16S ribosomal RNA". It matches the Rfam family "Bacterial small subunit ribosomal RNA", at positions 524 to 776 of the family's 1533-position model. The record is from RNAcentral.
UACAGAGGUCUCAAGCGUUGUUCGGAUUCAUUGGGCGUAAAGGGUGCGUAGGUGGCGGGGUAAGUCAGGUGUGAAAUUUCGGAGCUUAACUCCGAAACUGCAUUUGAUACUGCCUUGCUUGAGGACUGGAGAGGAGAUUGGAAUUUACGGUGUAGCAGUGAAAUGCGUAGAUAUCGUAAGGAAGACCAGUGGCGAAGGCGAAUCUCUGGACAGUUACUGACACUGAGGCACGAAGGCCAGGGGAGCAAACGGG